Molecule: ribosomal RNA, 468 nt
Filed under: uncultured bacterium
Lineage: Bacteria
Description: partial 16S ribosomal RNA
Rfam family: Bacterial small subunit ribosomal RNA
Source: RNAcentral
GAUGAACGCUGGCGGCGUGCUUAACACAUGCAAGUCGAGCGGAAAGGCCCAAGCUUGCUUGCGUACUCGAGUGGCGAACGGGUGAGUAACACGUGGGUGAUCUGCCCUGCACUUCGGGGUAAGCCUGGGAAACUGGGUCUAAUACCGGGUAGGACGAUGGUUUGGAUGCCAUUGUGGAAAGUAUUUUCGGUGUGGUAUGAGCUCGCGGCCUAUCAGCUUGUUGGUGGGGUAGUGGCCUACCCAAGCGUCGACGGGGAGCCGGCCUGCGAGGGUGGACGGCCGCAUUAGACCUGAGAGACAGGCCACAGUCCGACAUGAGGCGGCAUUGGGGAAUAUUGGACAGUGGGCGCAAGCCUGAUGCAGCAAGGCCGUGUGGGGGAUAACGUCUUUCGUGUGGGAAACACCUUUCGCUAAGGACGUAGCGUUUUUGUGACGGUACCUGGAGAAAAAGCACCGGCUAACUACGUG